Ahaetulla prasina is the source of this 3254-nucleotide RNA transcript. It is a transcript of the gene named acyl-coenzyme A synthetase ACSM3, mitochondrial-like, with no coding region annotated. The record is from RefSeq and is a predicted model, not a curated record. NCBI's taxonomy places the organism in Eukaryota, Metazoa, Chordata, Lepidosauria, Squamata, Colubridae. The transcript is spliced from 10 exons.
AAAGUUUUUGGAUAAAACUUUUAGGAUUAUGGGAAUUAAAACGACCCAAAGAAUCAACCAAGAAAUCCACAGGACACUUUUUCUGGAAUAAAGGAUUGUCCUUUAUAAUGAAAGGGGGUAUGGGUCUCGGUAGUUGUGCCCCUAACUCCUUUAUCCAACUUUUUCUGCAAUUUCUCUUCUAGUUGGCGCUGGUGGAAGGUUGCAGAUUGCUCAACCGGUUUCCCCCUGGUAGCAAAAAUGCCUGUGUGACGUACUGUGUCCUUUACAAACACACACCCACAAACCCCACGUCCUUCUCUUGUUUCCAAGAAGACAAGCAAGGACAUUUGCAUUGUGGCCCUGAAAAGUUUGCUUUGGCUCUUGGGAGUUUUUAGCUGACUUUCUCUCUUUACCUGGGUGGGUUUAUAUAACUUCCUGCAGCUCCUGUGAAAAGUUGGGGGGUUUAAAGUCAGCUCAGUUUUCCAAGAAUCCAGGAGAGGGCAUUCUUUGAAAAAAUAAUAAUCAACAACAACAACAACAACAGAAUUUCGAGUACCUGUUGAAUUUUCAAGGAGAUAGGCGGUGAUUGACAGAAAACAGACCUACCCAAGAACCAUUCGAAGAGAAGACCAUGGCUUGCGUUACCUUGACAAUAAGGUGCCAAGUCUCGGCUGCUAGGAUUCUGCGGUCCGUCUGCCUCGUUUCUUCCAGAAGCUUCAGCGGGGGCGAAAUCCCUUCGGUGGCUCAGAAUUUUACAGACUACAAAUCCAUUUGCGAACAGUAUAAACCGGAAGUGCCGGAAUAUUUCAAUUUUGCCAAAGAUGUGGUAGACAGCUGGGCCCAGUCAGAAAAGGAAGGAAGGCGCCCCCCCAGCCCUGCUUUUUGGUGGGUCAGUGAGCAAGAAACCCAAGUGAAGUGGACUUUUGCACAGCUGGCCUUGGAGUCCCGAAAAGCCGCCACGGUGCUGUCUGAGCAGGGUGGCCUGCGAGAAGGAGACCGAGUGGUGGUGAUUCUUCCCCGUAUUCCCGAAUGGUGGCUCUUGAACUUGGCUUGUAUCCGAACAGGAGCCGUGAUGAUUCCUGGAACUACGCAGCUGACAGCGAAAGACCUCCACCACCGCUUAGAGGCUUCCAAAGCCAAGUGUAUCAUCACGGACUCUGCCUUGGCCCCUGUGGUGGACAUGGUAGCUUCCAAAUGCCCAUCCCUGGAGUUGAAAUUUAUGGUAUCCAAGGACCACAGGGAAGGCUGGAUAAGCUUCAGCGAUAUGUUGGAGCUUGUGUCUCCAGAGCACACUUGUGUGGCCACGAAAAGCAGUGAUCCGAUGGCCAUAUAUUUCACCAGCGGUACGACAGGAGCUCCCAAAAUGACCGAGCAUUCCCAUGCGAGCCAUGGAAUUGGACUUGGCUUCAAUGGAAGGUAUUGGCUUGAUUUGACUCCCUCCGACCUGAUCUGGAAUACGUCAGACACCGGCUGGGCGAAAUCUGCCUGGAGUAGUGUUUUUGCUCCUUGGACCCAAGGAGCAGGGAUAUUUGUCCAUCACAUGCCACGAUUUGAUCCCAAACUUGUCCUUGAAAUGCUGUCCAAGUUUCCCAUCACGACUUUCUGUUCCGCGCCAACUGUUUAUCGGAUGCUCGUCCAACACGAUUUAAGCAGUUAUAAAUUCCAGAACCUCAAACAUUGUGUGAGUGCGGGAGAACCUAUCAAUCCUGAAGUGAUGGGCCAGUGGAAAAUAGAAACCGGCCUGGACAUCUACGAAGGCUACGGGCAGACGGAAACUGUGCUGGUUUGUGGAACUUUCAAGGGUAUGAAAAUCAAGCCAGGCUCUGUGGGGAAACCAACACCAGUGUAUGAUACUCAGGUACUGUUAUCUGUUAAUACUCCAGGAAAAGCGGAGUGGGAGGCAGGGAGGCAGAGAUGGAGGAACGUGUAUGGCUGCGUCCAUUUUCCCGUUUCUUUUGUUUAUACGCUGGCUUCUUUCUGGGCCAAAUGUACAGGUAGUGUCGUGUCCCACUCCUCCUCUGACGGCCGGGUUGGGGAAGUCCGUAUCAAGCGUGGCUGCAAAGCCUCUGCAGCUUUGCCAAAGUUCUGCCAGAGUUCUCAGGGCAGGCAGGAGACCAGAAUGUGACUUCAGCAAUCCAAGUUAGACUUUGCCUGACUCAAAGAAUGCCAGAAAGCAGAUCCUUUAUAUAGGCCAUGGGGUGUGGCUCCAUGACUCAGCACUUAUCCAGGCUUGCCCCUCCCUUCCUUUUGCUGACGUCGCCUCUCCACUCUCCGGAAGCGUGGGUCCUUCCAGCCUCCAGCUGCCGGCAAUUCCAGCUUGUGACUGGCUUCACACUCCCCAGGCUCACAUGCUGUGGGGGAGGGGCCCAGCUGCUCCGUUUGUCCGGGCAUGGUGCCAGGACUGGGGGCUGGAGGCAUGUCAGGCCAUUCGUCUUGCUCGGUCUGUCCGGGCAUGGUGCCAGGACUGGGGGCUGGAGGCAUGCCAGGACAUUCUUCUGCAGUAUCAGCGUCCGGCAGGAGACGAGAGGGGCCUGGCUGCGGAGAGGGGGGCGAACGAGGCACAACAGGUAGACUUUCACUUACGACCGCAACCGAGCCCAACAUGCGACAUUUGUUAAGUGAGUUUUACAACCUUUCUUGCCACCGUUGUUAAGUGAAUCGUUGCACUUCUUCAGUGAGUAAGCCAGUUGUUAAGUGAAAGGGGAUCACGCAAUCAGUGGUGGGAUGCUGCCGGUUUAACAACCGGUUCACUGCGCGGGCAGGCAGAGUUUUACAAAUACUAACCUUCUGUGUUACCACUUGGGAGUAACACAGCUGAGGCGCGACAAUCCGCUCUGCCACGCCAAUCAGCUGAGAAGAUAAAGACGGGGUGGCGACCUGAUCGUUGGAGCAAACCUGUUCACCCAAACCGGUCUGAACCGGUCAAAUCUCACCUCUGCACGUGACUCUUGGAUGCUGCAACCGUCGUAAAUAUGAGCCAGUUACCAAGCAUCUGAGUUUUGAUCGCAUGACCGUGGGGAUUUUUUCCCAGUGUCGUUUGUAACGUCGAAGAGUCACGAGACGAACUGUUGUACGUCGAGGUCCACCUGUACCUGUUUCAUAAAAUUCGUUUUGCUCUUUGUGCUGAAGGUCAUAGAUGAAAACGGCAACAUUUUACCUCCCGGGAAAGAAGGCGACCUCGCACUCCGAAUCAAACCCACAAGGCCGUUCUGCCUCUUCACUCAAUAUACCCUGAUCACACAUCCAGGAAGAUCAAGAAAGGACAGCUUCGACCC